UACGUAGGAUGCAAGCGUUGUCCGGUUUUAUUGGGUUUAAAGGGUGCGUAGGCGGCCUAUUAAGUUAGUGGUGAAAACGUUCGGCUUAACCGGAUACCCGCCAUUGAUACUGAUAGACUUGAGUGCGACAGAGGGUGUUGGAAUGUGUGGUGUAGCGGUGAAAUGCUUAGAUAUCACGCAGAACACCAAUUGCGAAGGCAGAUGCCUAUGUCGUAACUGACGCUGAGGCCCGAAAGCGUGGGGUGCAAACAGG
RNAcentral lists this ribosomal RNA (253 nucleotides) under uncultured bacterium. RNAcentral's name for it is "partial 16S ribosomal RNA". It matches the Rfam family "Bacterial small subunit ribosomal RNA", at positions 524 to 776 of the family's 1533-position model. The record is from RNAcentral.